GGGAUGUGAUGAGAUCUUGAGAAAGCCAUGCGCCACUCUGAUUUUAGUGAUGUCAAAUUUCUCAUACCAAUAGACCUUUCUGAGUUU
Non-coding RNA from Solanum lycopersicum (tomato), 87 nucleotides. Lineage: Eukaryota; Viridiplantae; Streptophyta; Magnoliopsida; Solanales; Solanaceae. The record is from Rfam.